Molecule: ribosomal RNA, 306 nt
Filed under: uncultured bacterium
Lineage: Bacteria
Description: partial 16S ribosomal RNA
Rfam family: Bacterial small subunit ribosomal RNA
Source: RNAcentral
GACAGCAGUCGCCGCGGUAACACGUAGGGAGCAAGCGUUGUUCGGAUUUACUGGGCGUAAAGGGCGCGUAGGCGGCGCGGUAAGUCACUUGUGAAAUCUCUGAGCUUAACUCAGAACGGCCAAGUGAUACUGCUGUGCUAGAGUGCGGAAGAGGCAACCGGAAUUCUUGGUGUAGCGGUGAAAUGCGUAGAUAUCAAGAGGAACACCUGAGGCGAAGGCGGGUUGCUGGGCCGACACUGAUGCUGAUGCGCGAAAGCCAGGGGAGCAAAUGGGAUUAGAUACCCCGGUAGUCCCUGUCUCUUAUAC